Long non-coding RNA from Hyla sarda, 303 nucleotides. RefSeq lists it as uncharacterized. The record is from RefSeq and is a predicted model, not a curated record. The transcript has 3 exons. NCBI's taxonomy places the organism in Eukaryota, Metazoa, Chordata, Amphibia, Anura, Hylidae.
CAGAUUUCAACACUCUCUAAGGUGAAAUUCCAUUAGAGAAGUAAUUUAUUACAUCACAAGAAUAAAAGAAUCUGUUUGCACCCACCGGAGAGUUGCCGCCUGUUCCUUUCUUCAAAGUGUAUCUGCUGGCUUGUUGCUCUAAAGGCUGAGCACCACCGGGGAACCUGCAGCUGCUGCCAGGACUGUACCGCUUCUUGCUCCGGGGACAAGAAGUGCCUUGGAGCCCUCUCAGGCACCCGGAGCCUGGUCUGACUGCUACCUCUGCACCCCAUAUGGUUACACGCCUGUUUGAACAUAAUGAAG